GGUCGCGCCGCUCGGCGGGACGGGCGGCGCCUGCGGGGCGCUGACGUCGGGUCGCGCCCGGUUCGCGGCCU
Molecule: transfer RNA, 71 nt
Filed under: Actinorhabdospora filicis
Lineage: Bacteria; Bacillati; Actinomycetota; Actinomycetes; Micromonosporales; Micromonosporaceae
Description: tRNA-Arg
Source: RNAcentral